Molecule: ribosomal RNA, 468 nt
Filed under: uncultured bacterium
Lineage: Bacteria
Description: partial 16S ribosomal RNA
Rfam family: Bacterial small subunit ribosomal RNA
Source: RNAcentral
GACGAACGCUGGCGGCGUGCUUAACACAUGCAAGUCGAACGGAAAGGCCCUGCUCUUGUGGGGUGCUCGAGUGGCGAACGGGUGAGUAACACGUGAGUAACCUGCCCUUGACUUUGGGAUAACUUCAGGAAACUGGGGCUAAUACCGGAUAGGAGAUCCUGCUGCACGGUGGGGGUUGGAAAGUUUCGGCGGUUGGGGAUUGACUCGCGGCUUAUCAGCUUGUUGGUGGGGUAGUGGCUGACCAAGGCUUUGACGGGUAGCCGGCCUGGGAGGGUGACCGGCGACAUUGGGACUGCGAUACGGCCCAGACUCCUACGGGAGGCAGCAGUGGGGAAUAUUGCGCAAUGGGCCGGAGCCUGAUGCAGCAGCGCCGCGUGCGGGAUGACGGCCUUCGGGUUGUAAACCGCUUUCGCCUGUGACGAAGCGUGAGUGACGGUAAUGGGUAAAGAAGCACCGGCUAACUACGUG